AUCUUUACUGAUCGGUACACAGAAGCUUCCAGAGUCUGAACGAAACCAUAUUGAAAAAACAAUAAAAAACCGAAAUGUCACGAGUUAUUUUAGUAUUAUCAAUAAUUGUACUCAUUAGCUGCAUUUAUGCUGCUGCAGGCCAAGGAUGUGAUGGCCAUUGGUGUUCUAAUACCUCUCCGUGUGGUUGUGAUUAUUACGAAUGUCAAGGAUGGCCUCAAGGUACCUGUGUUUCAUCACCAUACAAAGACGCCGAGUCUAAGGUCAUUCGUUACAAGUAAAUAAAGUUUUACGAAUUUCUUGUGAGAAUUUACGACUAAUUGGAUACAGUGGAUUUUCGUUACAACAAAAUGGCGCCUUAUGGAUUUAGUAAUAUUGAUUUUAUUUAAUACUAAUGAACAAAUAUAAUAGCAACAAUUUCUUGUAGUAAUUAUUUAUGAACCUGAAAAAAGAAAAAGAAAAUUUUUUUAUCUCCUUAAAAAUG
This is a long non-coding RNA of Microplitis mediator, 481 nucleotides long. RefSeq lists it as uncharacterized. Lineage: Eukaryota; Metazoa; Arthropoda; Insecta; Hymenoptera; Braconidae. The record is from RefSeq and is a predicted model, not a curated record. The transcript is spliced from 3 exons.